Molecule: ribosomal RNA, 490 nt
Filed under: uncultured bacterium
Lineage: Bacteria
Description: partial 16S ribosomal RNA
Rfam family: Bacterial small subunit ribosomal RNA
Source: RNAcentral
AGUGAACGCUGGCGGCAGGCCUAACACAUGCAAGUCGAACGGCAGCACAAGAGAGCUUGCUCUCUGGGUGGCGAGUGGCGGACGGGUGAGGAAUGCAUCGGAAUCUGCCCAUUUGUGGGGGAUAACCUCGGGAAACCGGGACUAAUACCGCAUACGACCUACGGGUGAAAGCAGGGGAUCUUCGGACCUUGCGCAGAUGGAUGAGCCGAUGCCGGAUUAGCUAGUUGGAGGGGUAAAGGCCCACCAAGGCGACGAUCCGUAGCUGGUCUGAGAGGAUGAUCAGCCACACUGGGACUGAGACACGGCCCAGACUCCUACGGGAGGCAGCAGUGGGGAAUAUUGGACAAUGGGCGCAAGCCUGAUCCAGCCAUGCCGCGUGUGUGAAGAAGGCCUUCGGGUUGUAAAGCACUUUUGUUGGGAAAGAAAGGCAGCCGGUUAAUACCCGGUUGUCAUGACGGUACCCAAAGAAUAAGCACCGGCUAACUUCGUG